GCGGGGUUGCAGCAGCUACAGAUCCAGGGGGAAUACAAGAAGAAGAAGAAUCUCAGGAUUUGGAGCCUGCAUCCAACCGUCCCCUACAAGCACUCCACCAUCCCAUCCCUGUGACCACCACCGAGUGAGGAGAAGGAGGAGAAGGCCUAACUAUAAGCUUUGUCAAAAAGGAAGGUCUUAAAUCUACUCUUAAAGUUGAAGAGGGUGUCUGCCUCCCAGACUGAAACUGGAAGAUGAUUCGACCAAAGAUGAGCUUGAUAACUGAAGGCUUUUGCUCCUAUUCUGUUUUUUAAGACUUAGAAGUGGAUGGUGCUUUGUUUCAAGCAAAGCAGGCCCACUACGUGCAAAGGCUGAGAGAGUUGAGGGCAACAAACCCAAUGCCACCAAUGGUGUCCAGGCUGGACCUUGACCUUAAGUUGGCCAACUGCAUUGAAGAAGGCUGGGUAUAAACCAACAUCAGUCAAGAAUAUGCUCAGCAACGCAAAGACCUUCCCCUCCCACGUAGAGCUCUUUCACUGAAAAGAAAACCUCCUGACAGCCACCCGGAUUGGCCAAAGACUGCAUCAAGAGACUGCAGUCGGACUUUCUGGGGGAAACUGGUCAGUGCCUCGGAGGAGCAAACAUUCAUCAUGGUGGCAACGAUGAGGACCCCUGCUCUGCUGAAGCAAAUGCAGGAAAAGGUACAAUUGGUCACCGUAGAGCUCCUGCAGGGUUACCUUAUCGUCACUGGACACUGGCCAGUGGUGUACUGCAGCCUGACAAAGAAAGAGGUCUGGGAGCGAGAAGAAAAGGAGGGCUUUUACAUGGUGUGGAUUGAGAGUAACAAGACCCAGGCCACAUAUGGGCACGCCCAGAUGGUAUUCAUCAGAGUGCUCGAUUGAGUCUACCCAAAAGUGCCUCUUGUUUUCCAUAAUAUGGAGGGAAAAGAGCACUGGAAGCUGGGCCUUCUGCUGAAUGCGGCGUGGAGCGACUCAGGACUCACCAGUACUGUGACAUUCAACCAGAUCCACUCCAGGGUGAGAAGUCAGGCACGGAGACAGCUGUCCAAGGAUGAGUUUGGUCAGGUUGUGGCUGCCAUGUGCCAUGACAUGGCGAUGGCAGAAAAAUAUGACUGUGCUCUUCCGUUCAUUAAGGAGGCCAUGGAGGUUUGCAGCCUGAGGAUGAAAGCCCUCAUGGAGGAAACGGUGGACCCGCAUCCUGCCUCCACCUCAGACUCUGGGGGUGAGGAACCAAUGUAUGCUGACAGCAUGUACUCUGUGUCUGAGCUCUCUGAAGGAGAGAAGGAGUUAAUGAAGAUGAGAAGGCGGCUUUUCGGAGCAGCAGGGAGGGAAGAAAAGCAAAGGAAAGAAGGACAAGGGUCAGAAAGAUGAGGAGACGUGCCCAAGCCUUUGAAUCAGACACCGACCCUGAGUGCCUGAUGAUCAUGACGGAUGCAGCGGAAAAGCAGGGAUCAGAAAUGGAAACAUUUUACUGAAUAGAAGAGGAGGGGCAGCGUGCACACGGACCAAGGGAGGGGAAAUUGUCUAGGUUCCCAUCCAAUUGAGGAUUUGUAGUUAAGCAUUGCUGAGUGGAGUGAUAUAUUUUAUAUCUGUAUAUAUUGUACUUAUGUAUAUUUUAAAUCUGUAGAUAUUUUAUAUCUGUAUACAUUAUCAAUUAUUUUAUAUCUGUAUAUAUUUAUUUAUUUUAUAUAUUUUGUUGUGCCUGUGCUGCAGGGGCUGUAAGAUAUGUGGAACUGGGACAUUAACACAUGCUGCCUCACCUCCUGGAGGUGAAAGGUCAAACUAUAUAGAAACUUAGUAAUCAUGUCAUCAGAACUUCUCAUCUUCUCUGCAGGUUAGAGGUUGUCAGUUGGGAGCAAAAACCUACAGAAAAUAGUAACAAUAUGAUGCCUGGAAAUGUGGACUACAGUCAGACAACUGAAAUUACAGUUAAAUGAAACGGCUGCAAAGAGUUUUUGUAAGAAAAGUUUUCAUUUCCAUCAAAUUGUAGGAGCAGUGACAGUACAAAAGGUCUUGCAUUGUAUAAAUAGAAAAAUAGAUUAAGAUUAUGAUAAAAUUUUAAAAAAUCUAAUAAAACGCUUGUCGCUCA
This is a long non-coding RNA of Dicentrarchus labrax (European seabass), 2088 nucleotides long. RefSeq lists it as uncharacterized. The record is from RefSeq and is a predicted model, not a curated record. The transcript has 8 exons. Lineage: Eukaryota; Metazoa; Chordata; Actinopteri; Moronidae.